AUGCCCCAAGGUCCUUGCUUUUAUGGAACUUACUUUCUAGGGAGGGAGGUAAGGAAUAAGUAAACGAUAAUUUCAGCUAAUGGUAAGUGCGGAUGAAGAAAUAAAAUGGGGUGAUGUGCUAAUGGAGGGGUGCAACUUGAGAAAGGAUGUAGCAAGAUUUAGGGUGCUGUAAGGGGCAGGGAUGCUAGAUUUCCUGGGGGAGCUGAGCCAUCAGGGGAGAGCCAGGGUUCAGCGAGGGAGGCCUUGGUAUGGGGGAAGGAAAUGGUCUGAAAAGAGGAGGAAGGACCUGGGGAGUUUGCCAAUGAGAGGGGCUAGUUCCAGAGACCUGUUGGUGAGGACACAGAGUAUUAGAGGGUGGAUGACCUUGGGGUUACCCUUUGGGUUGUGACCAACAGGUCAAUUGCUAACUCCACAUUUGGCCCUGGGCAACCCUCAGGUGCUCAGACUCAACAUUGCCAACCACAAACAUCUCCUUUCCACCAAUUCUGCUUCCAGUGUCCCAGUCUCAAGGGCGGAACCACCACUCCUGGUCCCAAUGACUGGCAGCCUCAGUUGUGAUGGGUCGCUCCUCUCUUCCCUCUGAGACAGGACUGGGCCAGAAGAUCCAGCAAGAGCCAGAGGGCUCCCAAACCAGUCCCUCCUGCUCUGCUGCCCCGUAUCUUCCCGUUGUUUCUGCUCCUCCUCCAGGGAGCCAUUUGCACCUCCUCACCUCCCUAGGCUCAUACUCCUCUCCACUGCUCCCCCGGCCUAUAGGGAGCUCCUGGAACAAUGAGAAGAUUGGAAGGGAGAACCAAUCGACUGGGGAGGCUGGAGUCCCAGGAUCCCAAGUGUGGCCUUGCGUUACAGUCGGGAAUGAGAGCCUAGUGAGGGUAACAGAGGCAGGGGUGAGGGCUCUGCCUGCCUGCCUCGGUCCUCACUUCCUGGCAUCAUUUCCCCUGGGGCUGAUGCCUGCUCCCGCCAGGGUCCCUGCUUUCUUCUCUGCCUGGGCCCCAGACGCCCUCCAGAGUGAGCCUGUUCUGUCCACCUCUAUAUAGCCUGUGAACUGUGUUCAGGGGGUGGGCAAUUAUCCUGGAAGAAACGGGAACCCCCAGGGACAACUCCAUUAGGAACUGCCACAGGUCAGACCAGGGUUCUGGUGGGGUGUUUGAGGGGCAGGAUGGGGGAGAAGUGUGUGAGGAGGUCCGAUCAGAGCCUGGUCCCCUGCCCACCUGCAGGCGUGGGCUCCUCUUCAAGCUGGUCUCUGCCCAAGCCUCUUCCUCUGCAUUGCCUGAGGCACGAGGGCUUUUGUCUCCAGGAAGUCCAGGUAGGGCCAAGAACUAGGUGGGAGGAGUUUGGCUUCUGCGCCGUGCAGGGUCAUGCUGGCUUCGGCCCCUUGAUGCGCCAGCUGUGGGAGGGCGCUCGAGCAUAUAGCUGGCCAGUCAGCAGGCAGGGCCCUCGAGGAAACAGUUGCUCUAUCCACACAGGUUCCCUGAUGCCUGGGGUAGGUUGGCUGCUGGUACUCCUGCUGGCCCUGCUGGGGGCUGCCCUGCUCUUCUGGCAGCAUGUUCCAGCACGAAGCAAGAUCCCCGGGGCACAGAAGCGUAGGGGGUGGCACUGCAGCAGUUGGAGGCCCUGGCCCAGCGUCUCCGGCAGCAGGAACCCUCCCUGAACCCCAAGGCCAUCCUGGAGCUGCCCCUGGAGAGUCUGGCCCAGAAGCUGCAGGAUGAAGAGCUCAGUCUGGAGAGCAUCCUCUCUAGCUACUUAGAGGAGGCCCUGAAGGUACAUAAGAAGGUAAACUGCCUGAUGGAUUUCCUGGGCGAGCGUGAGGAGGAACUGCAGGCAUUGAAGAAGCUCAAGAAGACUGAGAGAGGCCUUCUCUAUGGGGUCCCCAUCAGCCUCAAGGACACCUAUGACUGCAAGCUUUUAUUGCAGUAACCCCAUCUAUGGACGGACCCUGAACCCUCUGAACUUAAAGAAGACACGUGGGGGCUCCUCAGGGGGUGAGGGAGUCAUGCUGGCUCAAGGGGGUUCCAUCCUGGGCAUGGGGUCCGACACUGCUGGCGGCAUCUGCAUACCAGCCAGCUUUUGUGGGGUCUGUGGCUUCCAGACCACGGGAUACUGCCUCAGUGACUACAGUGGGUGGCCCCAUAGCCCGGGAUGUGGAGAGCCUGGUGCUGUGUAUGCGAGCCCUGCUAAGUGAAGACAUGCACCGAUUGGACCCCGCUGUGCCUUUCAUGCCCUUCAGGGAGGAGGUAUGCUCCAGUAACCAGCCCCUUCGAAUGGGCUACUGUGAAUCAGAUGGCUUCGCCCAGCCAACUCCUAGCAUGGCCAGGGCCAUGAAGCUCGCCUCCAGGCUGCUCCAGGCUGCAGGAGGACAUCAGUGAGGGGGACAUUGUGGACCCUUGCAUAAAGACAGUGAUCAGCAUGCGCCGCCUGCCGGACCCUCUCAAGAGUUUCUUGGCCUAUAUCCUGAAGUACGCAGAGCCCUGAGCUAGCCAGAAGUUGAAAGAGAUUCGUGGAAUGGGGACUCCCAAAAAACUGUGGGAACAUCACACAGCAGUGGAGGAGCAUCAGCAGGAGUUCAUAGCCAAGUGGAGGUCCUCGGACCUGGAUGUUCUGCUGACACCACCGCUAACCCCUGCCUUCUCUACAGACCAUUCUAGCAUGGCAUUAGGUGAGACGAACCUGGGUCCUGAUGGGGUUGAGACCCAGAGCCCAGGACUUCAGAGUCCUGCCACAGCUUCUGUGGCCUUGACCUCUGUUACCAUUCACUAUUGGAAAAAAAAAAUUUCUUAAAUUGAGGUAAAAUUCAGAUAACAUAAAUUCACUAUUUUAAAGUGUACAAUUCCGUGGUUUUGAAUGUAUUUAGAAUGCUGUGCAACUACCACCGGUAUCUAAUUCCAGAACAUUUCCGUUAUCUUGAAAAUAAACCCUGUACCUGUG
Molecule: long non-coding RNA, 2922 nt
Organism: Callorhinus ursinus (northern fur seal)
Lineage: Eukaryota; Metazoa; Chordata; Mammalia; Carnivora; Otariidae
Source: RefSeq, a predicted model, not a curated record